RNAcentral lists this long non-coding RNA (1361 nucleotides) under Pogona vitticeps (central bearded dragon). RNAcentral's name for it is "lncRNA (ENSPVIG00000001542.1)". Lineage: Eukaryota; Metazoa; Chordata; Lepidosauria; Squamata; Agamidae. The record is from RNAcentral.
UGUUUUCUUGUUUCCUUCCUGUAGUUAACCUUGUGAGUUCAGAGGCAGGAUUGUUACCCUUUCAUCUGAAGGUGAUUUAUAUAAUGUAAAGGAAGUAAACUGCAGAUAUAUUUUCUCUUGCAAUAGUAUUGCUAUAGUCCCAGCAGUGUAUCUCACUGUUGCUUCUUGUUUUGUUUUUUUUGUUUAGGGUUUUUUUUUACUUUGCUUUGUUUUUUACAUCAGAUACUUUUCUUUCUGAUGUAGAGAGAUCAUUAUUAGUAGGGCAGAUCAGAAGGUUUAUUCAUCUUCAUGUAGUGCUAAGAUUAGCUUGUUGGACUUUUGAAAUGCCCGCCUAGACAAUGUAUCAUUGUACUAUAAAAGUAAUAUUUUUCAGACAGUCUUUAGUUUCUAUCUAAUGUAAAUGUUGCCACAGUUCUUUAAUAUUUAUAAUUAGUAUACCAUGGCGGCUGGAUCCAAACUAGUCAAAUGUGAAUGAGUUAUCUUUUUGUUGUUGUUAGUGGUCAGAGAGUUAAAAGGGUUGUGAGCGAGGAAAGUAAUCAGGCAUGCCUGUCUCCAAAGUUUUUUAAAAAAAUAAUUUUAAAAAGGCAUUUCUGCAUUUAAGAGAUUGUGAGAAAAAUUGGAAUGAGAGUGGGAAUGACCGUGAGGUUCCCCAGGCCCAUUCCAUUUCCAUCUUUGGAUAGCCACUGAAUUCCUUUUUGCAAGCCUUCUAGUUCCAGCAGCUGGAAGCUCUCACCUGCCAUUGCUCUGUGCUAUCAGUAACCAAAGAUGACAGAAUAGUAGUAUCAGGAUCUGGAUGAGUUGGGCAGUAAAAGGACCAUUAUUGAGCCACAGAAGAAGCAUAUUCCAUGACCUCUUCCUUCGCUACAAGACGGAACACUUGUCUCUCCAGAUGUUGGUGCACUUUAAUUCUGCUGGCCUCACUACUGGUUAAGCUGACAGAUAGGAAAUAGUUUAAUUGUAUCUGGAGGGCCACAUGUUUUCUACCCUGCUUUGGUAGUUCUUAACCCAAUCAUCCAGGCUUCCCAUAUACCAGACUGCAAGACAAUAUAAAUUGUCAAAACAAAGUUCUUUUUGUUGUGGUGAUAUAUAUGCUGGAGAAAACAGAGAAGCUGCAAUAACCACAAAAACCUCAGACUAGUAUCUGGUUUUCUGUUCUUGUUUCUGUUGUAUAUGAAAAGAAAAAAAUAUGAUAUUCCUCCCAGCAUGGCUUUGUUCCUGUUUCUCCUUUUGUUGAGAUUUAAAAAAAAACUAAUAUUACUGUAUCGAAUACUGUUUCCAUGUAUAUGAAGCCACAUGAAGAGGGUUUUUUUAAAACAGACAUUUACCAAAUAAAUAAGCAUGUUUUGACUAUUUCCUAAACA